GGAAAUGUAGCAAGAUUCCCUUUCAUCUCCCAACGGCAGUUUGGGGCUGCACGUGUCCGCCGAAUCCAAGGGCAAAGGGCCUGCGGUGAGGAGCCCACAUUUUGAACUGAAGAAGUGAGCACCACAGCUUUGGGGUCACGAAAAGCCAGAGUGGCAUCUCUGGCCUUGGAGCCUUACUCUCCUCUUCUAUAAAAGAGACCCGAUGGCACCUCCCCUAAGGGUUGUGAACACCGCAUAAGACCUUACGGUGGUGAGGAUCAAACGGAAUGAGAUAUGUGGACAUGCCUUGGAAACUGUACAAUGUCAGCUCUCUGUCUUCUCACCUGCCUCCCGGGCCCUCCUGCGCUGAGUGGAAAGCAGCCGCUCCUGGCAGCGCCCAGGGGGCUGCAGUCAGCAUCUCACAGAGGAAACCAGUCUGCCCCUGACUUUCUCUGUGUGAUACAAGGGCCAUUUUGUUGAAGACCGUGUUCUGCUGACUCCUAAGAAGCGCCUCUCACCCCGACAGCUCGGGCGGACUUCAGCCACGGAGCCCGGGACCGGGUCGUCCUCCGGAGCAGCGUGCCGGACCCCGCGCUGCCUCCUCCCAGCCCCUCGGGUGCAGACGGGACUCCCGCCGGAUACGGGUCCUUGGAGGAAACGGGAGAGAAAUUCCACUUUGGCUCCAGCGAUCCGGCCCACAAAGGAGCCAGGGAAAAAGCUGAGCGAGAAGAGCGACCGCAAGCCCCCUUGCCGGAUUCCGGCAGACGCCACGGGGAGAAUCGGGAACAGAAAAACCUGGGCCAGAGAAGAAAGGGCCUUCGCGGAGCUGUGCAGACACAACGCAAGAACACAUGCAACCAGCGCAAGGCAAGGCCGGCUGCGCUGCCUUAGAAUUCAGAGGAGAAGGCGCUCACCGCAGGCCGGGGCGGGCAGGGGAGGCAGCCUUGACCUCAGCCCUGAAGACCCGGCGCUCCUGGCCUCCUUCCCCGCCUCGGCAUCACCUGCUGCUGGAUUUCACCUUAAUAAUAGCUGGUAGCACGUACUGAGCACUUACAAUGUCGGGCUUUAUGAGCAUUUUCUCGUUAGUCUUCACAGAAAAUUAGAGUGGUCAAGAAUGUAAGGUUCAGAGAAGUGAAGUCUUGGACAGGCCCAUCCUGGGAACGAGAAGGUGAGUUAGAAAGAAAAGAACGCAAACGAAUGAAUCCGACCUCUGAACCUACGGAGCUCCUCCUACACAUCUGGCAUUGAGACAUGAAGACAGUGCACGGGGCGCCGAGCAUGGGCAGGUUGGGCAGCAGGCCUGUGCUGGAAAGGUCCCAGCUCCGUCCCUCUGAGCUGCGAGAGGCUGGCCAAUGACCUCACCUCUUGGAGCUUCAGUUUCCUCAUCUACCAAAGGGGAUAAUAGGAUGCCACCCUCACUGGACUAGUGUGAACGUUAGAUGGGACCGCACACGUGUUAGCAGUGUAAGUGGCAGCCGUGCCCUGGAUGUCAGUGCCCCCUGCUUGUCUAUCUGCAGCAGGAAUGUGAGAGAAAGCACAGGACUGAGAG
RNAcentral lists this long non-coding RNA (1528 nucleotides) under Equus caballus (horse). RNAcentral describes it as "lncRNA (ENSECAG00000032414.2)". The record is from RNAcentral. Lineage: Eukaryota; Metazoa; Chordata; Mammalia; Perissodactyla; Equidae.